GCCAGGCGGCUAGCAGGCAACAGACAAGCGCCCCCAAACGCGCCAUCGCGAGUUGCAGCCACGGGUCUGGGAGACUUGCUAUCACCUUGCUGAUUCACUGGGGUUCCUGUAGCCUCCUUGAGCAACCUGUCAGGAAAGAAGAGAAACCUCAAAGGUAGUGGGUAUGAAUUUGCAGCCCAGACCUGUAUGUAAUAAUGUAUGUCUUUGUUCUGUAACUGAACUUGACUAAUAACUUACUUCCCAUUUUGACCUAAAAGCAGAAAACGUAAUAUGCUCACUUUUUUUUGCAAACUUAGUAAAAUUUGUGAUUAUUGAGACAUUUUAGAUCUUUCUCCAGCUCAGUUCAAAGAUUCCCUCCUCCUUCUCCAUGAAGUUUCAUCUAAGAUCUAAAGACAGAAGAUGAGAUGAAAGGACAAAGGGCCAGGGGCCAGGAAGGAAGUGGUUGUCAGGAUGGUACCACAGGACCUAAUCCUCAGUCAUCUUCCUUGGACAUCGGUGACACUCACCCUGCUGAGAUUUCCUGUCCUGUCUCACAUGAGAGAAAGGGCAGCAUCAAGAAAGAUGACAGGAUUUUGACUGGAGCAACUUAUUGAAUGGUUUAGACCAAGUUCCUUGUGUUCUCUGUUCAUCCUGACUUUAACAUUACUGGAUCCCAGAGGAAGAGGAAAGAUGGAGGCUCCCAAGCCACUGAAUAUAGGUCCUGUCUCCCUGCCUUGACAAAUACAUCUUCACAAUGACUCCCUGCCCUGACAAAUAUACCUUCAAGAUCCAAAGACAUAUGUGACUGUGUGAGUUCCUAAGGAUGAAAAUUAGCAAAAUAAUGAAGACAAAAUAAUUUUUGUUACUGUACAUCUGAUUGCACUGUUAGUGAGCUAUGUCAAUGGAUGGGUGACUAAUAAUGAAAAGCAAAAUGUAUAAAUUAUACAAUUAUUCAAAAUGAAUUUUCUUAUCUUCAUUUAAGCAAAAUAAUUGUAUUGCAAUUAAUAAGAUUUUUCACUUAUUUUGUGUUCUAUUGGUAGCAGUUAUUCUAGAUGAUUAAAAGACAGUAUGUACUUAUAUUCAAAGUGUACAAAGACAGAAUAUAGUUUUUUUAAAGUAAAGCAAAAUUAGAUAAAAACAAGGUCUUACUGUAUAG
This is a long non-coding RNA of Capra hircus (goat), 1135 nucleotides long. RefSeq lists it as uncharacterized. The transcript is spliced from 3 exons. NCBI's taxonomy places the organism in Eukaryota, Metazoa, Chordata, Mammalia, Artiodactyla, Bovidae. The record is from RefSeq and is a predicted model, not a curated record.